This 497-nucleotide ribosomal RNA is filed under the name uncultured bacterium. RNAcentral's name for it is "partial 16S ribosomal RNA". It matches the Rfam family "Bacterial small subunit ribosomal RNA", at positions 28 to 507 of the family's 1533-position model. The record is from RNAcentral.
GAUGAACGCUGGCGGCGUGCCUAAUACAUGCCAGUCGAGCGAACAGGCGAGGAGCUUGCUCCUCUGACGUUAGCGGCGGACGGGUGAGUAACACGUGGAUAACCUACCUAUAAGACUGGGAUAACUUCGGGAAACCGGAGCUAAUACCGGAUAAUAUAUUGAACCGCAUGGUUCAAUAGUGAAAGACGGUUUUGCUGUCACUUAUAGAUGGAUCCGCGCCGCAUUAGCUAGUUGGUAAGGUAACGGCUUACCAAGGCAACGAUGCGUAGCCGACCUGAGAGGGAGGUCGACCAGACUGGAACUGAGACACAGUCCAGACUCCUACGGGAGGCAGCAGUAGGGAAUCUUCCGCAAUGGACGAGAGCCUGACGGAGCAACGCCGCGUGAGUGAUGAAGGUCUUCGGAUCGUAAAACUCUGUUAUUAGGAAAGAACAAAUGUGUAAGUAACUAUGCACGUCUUGACGGUACCUAAUCAGAAAGCCACGGCUAACUACGUG